CAAGCCGGAGCCACGCUCUCGGACAACUGGCAGCCCAGCGCGCCAAUCACAGGGGGCGUGGGCGGGCCGCAUGUCAGGCCACAGCCAAUCACGGAGAGGGGGCGGGGCUCAAGGAGCGAUGGAUGUGAGUGAAGUUUCGAGCUCGGGUUUCUAUUUCUGAUGCGUGUAAUUACAAAUAACAGUUUCUUCCUCACUGUUCAGCAUUAAACGCAGCAGAGCUGAGAGGUGACACCUGAGCCGCGCUUCAGAGAAAACGUGUCUGUCAGCGCCCCCUGCUGGCAACGCGACCACGCGCAGCGCGCUGGCCUCACCUGCUUCAUGCGGGUUCCAGCACCAAACGGACCGCGGCUCAGCCCGCUCUGGCGCAGAGGUCAGGAGCUGCAGCGGGAGAAGGCGGGCGCUGCACAGCUGAUCAUGGAGAAACGUCCUGGAUCUGACGCCGCGUUGGGAAACGUGCACCAGGGCGGCUUCUCUGAACGCAGCAGCAUCUGCAGGCUGUGCAGCACAAUGGGCGGUGUGUCCCACAGCCGGGAGCCGUUCUUUGCCCACACACUUUGGGCUAAUGAGCCAAUUCACCUUUUCAUUUUAAUAAAGUGUUACAAAAACAAACAACUCUGUUGCUGCGAGUCCUGUCAUGUCCGUAACAUGUUCCUGAAGAUUCCCUGCUUUCAUACAGAAAUCAUCAGUAACCCACAGGAGAUCCUGUUCCCACAUUCGACACACUCUGGGCAUGGGGGUGAAUGCUGCCGUCUGGAGCGGCACGGUCUAAUCACACAGUUGUCUCUCUCCGUGCACAGCUUCCUGCUGCAGCUUCAGCUCCCGAGGACAGUGGAUCCGUUCUGCAGGCGGUCGGCGCAGGCCGGGUCCGACAGGUGGCCUCUGACACCCAGCAGCAGAUGUUUCCUCCUUAGGAAGCAGGUCCAGAGACUAAAUAUGAGUGCCGGGGGUUCGUCCCAGUCCUGACUCAUAAGUGAAAACCAGACAGACGGAUCAGCGCCGCCAUGGAACCUCCUGGAGGAUGAAACGGCGAGCGUCUCACUGACACAGGGUCACAGUCCUGCUGCAGCCUGUCUGCCUGCUCCUCCACAGCCAGUUCACAGCCAGUGCCUUGCUCAAGGGCACGCGAGGCCGACGCUGUGGUUCAGGGAGUGGGAGAGUUACUCAGCUGCUUCCCAGCAGCAGCGCGUCACUGUGGCUCAUCGUCUGAGGCGUUUGUGGGUGCAGGCGGGUGGAGGAAUCCUGAGCUUCAGCUCAGAUCAGCAUCUGGAUGGAGGCUCCAGCAAAAGUCAAUGUUGUGAGAGGCACGUGCUGCUGAUUCCCUGAUGCCUUUGUUAGGUUGCAGCCUGUAAAGUUCCUCCUCCUCAGAAAGCUGCGUGGGCGGCCUGAGGCGAGGGCUCUGCUGCAGCAUUCGGUGGCGAUGCCAGGGGCAGGAGGGCAGAGUUCAAGCUCCAGCUUUCAGCGCAGGCUUCAUGUUGCAUGCUUGACCCCGGCCUGCGCUCCUUCCACCGCUCACACCUUCAGAGGACGCGCUGUUUGAUCAGCUGACAGCUGGCUGACAGACCGAAGCUCAUUUUCCAUCUCUGCACAUACACUUAUCUCUGGUUUAUGAGUGAGGUGUUGGAACAAGCAUGGCAAAUGGAGCAUUUUUCACCACUUCAGGCCGGCUGCUGCCUCCACGCAGCCCCACACACAUAUUUGCCCUGUUUACGCAGCGAUACAAGCUGCAGAAACAGUCCAGAAAUCAAACAUUUUGACUUAUUAUCAGCUUGUGUGAAUUACGACUGAAAGUUCCCGUCUGAUUCCAAUGAAUCCUCCUGGUGUGGUAAUAUUUGCUUGGGGCAACAAAUGCGAGGCUUGUAACAGUGUUUAGUGACGCACUCAGGUUGGCUGAUGGUUCACUGCUUCUACGUGGGCCACACUCCUGCACAACACUAGGCUCAAGGUCAAGACAACGUAGGAGAAUUGAAGAGUUGCCUCAGUAUUUCCUCUGGAGGUUUCAAUAAACAAGGUUUAUGUA
This is a long non-coding RNA of Betta splendens (Siamese fighting fish), 2017 nucleotides long. RefSeq lists it as uncharacterized. Lineage: Eukaryota; Metazoa; Chordata; Actinopteri; Anabantiformes; Osphronemidae. The record is from RefSeq and is a predicted model, not a curated record. The transcript has 3 exons.